Picea glauca (white spruce) is the source of this 113-nucleotide non-coding RNA. NCBI's taxonomy places the organism in Eukaryota, Viridiplantae, Streptophyta, Pinopsida, Pinales, Pinaceae. The record is from Rfam.
GGGUGCUAUCAUACCAGCGUUAAUGCAUCGGAUCCCAUCAGAACUCUACAGUUAAGCCGAGGUGGCAGGAGCGGGAGGGGUCAUCAUUUGCCCACGAUGAAAUCAAGCACUCU